GGAGUGCGAGAUCCAGCCGCUGGUGUUUUUACACGGGAGGAAAGUCCGGGCUCCAAAGGGCAGGAUGCCGGAGAAAUUCCGGCGAGUGUGAACUUCGGGAAAGUGCCACAGAAAAGAAAACCGCCUGAAUAAGGCAAGGGUGAAAAGGUGAGGUAAGAGCUCACCAGACGAGUGGUAACAUUCGUGCUUGGUAAACCCCAUCCGGAGCAAGGUUGAAUAGGGAAGGCUGAAGCGGCCCGCUGACUUCCGGGUACAACCGCUCAUUCUUAUUUGUAAAAAUAAGAUUAGAUAAAUGGCUGGAAGGUAUAACCUACAGAACCCGGCUUAUUGACCGCUCCUAAA
RNAcentral lists this RNase P RNA (342 nucleotides) under Synergistaceae bacterium. RNAcentral's name for it is "RNase P RNA component class A". It matches the Rfam family "Bacterial RNase P class A". From Rfam's summary of the family: Ribonuclease P (RNase P) is a ubiquitous endoribonuclease, found in archaea, bacteria and eukarya as well as chloroplasts and mitochondria. Its best characterised activity is the generation of mature 5'-ends of tRNAs by cleaving the 5'-leader elements of precursor-tRNAs. Cellular RNase Ps are ribonucleoproteins. Lineage: Bacteria; Thermotogati; Synergistota; Synergistia; Synergistales; Synergistaceae. The record is from RNAcentral.